Molecule: long non-coding RNA, 305 nt
Organism: Canis lupus familiaris (dog)
Lineage: Eukaryota; Metazoa; Chordata; Mammalia; Carnivora; Canidae
Exons: 3
Source: RefSeq, a predicted model, not a curated record
AUAGCAUGCUUUCUGCAACAACAGUUGGAAAGGAAAACAAACACAACCGUCUCUGCUUUGCCGGAUGGAGUCACUAGGGAUAUUCACAUGAGCAUCAGCCAUAUUGGAAGACAGCGGUUACGUGCAUUUCUGUUCUUUGCAAACCCACUGGUGGCUGGCACAGUCUAAGAGAGAGCACAAUACCGUCUUCAGUGCCCAAGCUUCCAGUUAAGAAAAUAAAUGAGUGUGUAGGGACAGAAGGAUCAGAGGCAGUGGCCAAAGGGAGAGGUAAUGAUGGGAGGCUCCUUUUGGUGGAGAAGACUGAG